AAGGCCUGUGACAAGGACUGGAAUGCAUAACCCCAGACAUGUCACUGGAAGGCAAAAAUCACAAAACUGCAUUUCACUUAUGUUGGCCAUGUCAUGUGAGGAAAUUCACUGGAGAAAGCAAUUAUGCAUGGAAGAGUUAGAGGAGAAAAGCAACC
Non-coding RNA from Pseudonaja textilis, 155 nucleotides. The record is from RefSeq and is a predicted model, not a curated record. NCBI's taxonomy places the organism in Eukaryota, Metazoa, Chordata, Lepidosauria, Squamata, Elapidae.